UACGUAGGGUGCAAGCGUUGUCCGGAUUUAUUGGGCGUAAAGAGCUCGUAGGCGGUUUGUCGCGUCGACUGUGAAAGUCCGGGGCUCAACCCCGGGAGGCGGGCGGAUACUGUCGGGCUAGAGUCCGGAAGAGGCGAGUGGAAUUCCUGGUGUAGCGGUGAAAUGCGCAGAUAUCAGGAGGAACACCAAUGGCGAAGGCAGCUCGCUGGGACGGUACUGACGCUGAGGCGCGAAAGCGUGGGGAGCAAACAGG
Molecule: ribosomal RNA, 253 nt
Filed under: uncultured bacterium
Lineage: Bacteria
Description: partial 16S ribosomal RNA
Rfam family: Bacterial small subunit ribosomal RNA
Source: RNAcentral